Molecule: transfer RNA, 67 nt
Filed under: Amblyomma sculptum
Lineage: Eukaryota; Metazoa; Arthropoda; Arachnida; Ixodida; Ixodidae
Description: tRNA-Tyr
Source: RNAcentral
GGUAAAAUGACUGAAAUUUAGGUGAUAAAUUGUAAAUUUAUUUAUGGAUGUAAUUAUCCUUUUACUA